RNAcentral lists this long non-coding RNA (221 nucleotides) under Actinidia chinensis (golden kiwifruit). RNAcentral's name for it is "long non-coding RNA (ACHI_LNC009146)". Lineage: Eukaryota; Viridiplantae; Streptophyta; Magnoliopsida; Ericales; Actinidiaceae. The record is from RNAcentral.
UUCUUUGGAGUGGAAGCCUUGUGCCUGUGAGGUUUUAGAGUGGCGGUCAAAGUUGAGUGUGGGGCAUUUUGUAAGACUGAGUUGAGAAUGUUAUGGAUUUUAUAGCUUUGAGGGAAAAUCAGAGUGGGGAAAUCUUGCGAGGUGUAGGUGAGGGUGUUUCGGAGGUUCUGAGAGUAUACUGAGCAUCUUUCCAUGGGGUAUGCCCCAUUUUUAUUGUAUCU